AUGGCGGCGGGGGCGCCGCCGCAGGGGGCGCCGACGGUGGAGGAGCAGGAGGAGGCGGCGGGGGUGGGGAUCCUGCUGCAGAUAUCGAUGCUGGUGCUGGCGUUCGUGCUCAGCCACCUCCUCCGCCGCCGCAGGGUCUACUACCUCCCCGAGGCCAGCGCGUCGCUCCUCAUCGGGUUGAUCGUGGGAGGUCUUGCUAGCGUAUCUAACGCCCAGAAAAGUACAAGGAGAUGGUUCAAUUUCCGGGAGGAGCUCUUCUUUCUGUUCUUGCUGCCUCCUAUCAUAUUCCAGUCCGGCUUCAGCUUAGCACCAAAACCAUUCUUCUCAAACUUUGGUGCUAUUAUUACUUUUGCAAUCGUUGGAACCUUAAUUGCCUCCAUUGUCACCGGUGUUUUAGUCUAUCUUGCUGGGUUAAUACAUCUUGUCUAUAGGAUGCCUCUGGUUGAGUGUAUGAUGUUUGGUGCCCUUGUGUCAGCAACUGAUCCUGUAACUGUGCUGUCGAUAUUUCAGGAACUUGGCACGGACGUGAACCUCUAUGCGCUGGUUUUCGGUGAAUCUGUGCUAAAUGAUGCUAUGGCAAUCUCCUUGUACAGGACUAUGGCAUCUCUGAGGACGAAUGCUUCUAGCCAAAACAUUUUCGUAGUUAUCUUAAGGUUUCUCGAGAACUUCUUUGGGUCAAUGUCAACAGGUGCUGGAGCUGGAUUUAUUUCUGCUCUCCUCUUCAAGUAUUCAACACUCGGUGUUGAGAACCUUUAUAACCUCGAGAGCUGCUUGUUUGUACUUUUCCCAUACUUCUCGUACAUGCUAGCUGAAGGCUUCGGUCUGUCUGGCAUAGUCUCAAUACUCUUUACUGGAAUCGUGAUGAAGAGAUACACAUUCUCGAACUUGUCAGAAGACUCCCAGCGUUUCACUGCUGCACUUUUCCAUCUGCUUUCAUCAUUAGCAGAAACUUUUGUAUUCAUAUAUAUGGGAUUUGAUAUUGCGAUGGAGCGUCAAAGCUGGUCACACAUUGGGUUCAUAUUUUUCUCAGUUAUCUUCAUAUUAGUUGCAAGGGCUGCAAAUGUUUUCUCGUGUGCUUUCUUGGUAAAUAUGGUACGGCCACCUCAGCGGCAAAUAUCCAGGCAAUAUCAACAGGCACUUUGGUAUAGUGGUCUUAGAGGGGCUAUGGCUUUUGCCCUUGCUCUUCAAUCUGUUCAUGAUCUUCCUGAUGGCCAUGGACAGACAAUUUUGAGUGCCACCAUAUCUAUUGUUGUUCUAACAGUACUUCUGAUUGGAGGCUCAACAAGCACAAUGCUUGAAGCUCUACAUGUUGUGGGAGAUGGUAAUGAUGGUCGUCGCCCUUCACUUGAGGACCAGGAGAACUAUGAGGGGAACAAUAAUGCGGGCAACAUAGAACUGGGCAAUGAAGAGGGGACUUCUACCACAAGCAAAUUCAAACUGAAACUCCAAGAAAUCCAGAAAAACACGCCCUCCUUGGCCGCAUUGGACAGAAACUACCUCACUCCAUUUUUCACAUCUCAAAAUGGCGAUAGCGAUGACGACGAACAUGGUCCUAACGGAGCGCCGCGGAGAUCUAACGAGCUGCAAGACCUGGAGAGCCAUGGAUUACCGGCUCGAGAGACGGGCUGA
Molecule: ribosomal RNA, 1629 nt
Filed under: Triticum aestivum (bread wheat)
Lineage: Eukaryota; Viridiplantae; Streptophyta; Magnoliopsida; Poales; Poaceae
Description: partial small subunit ribosomal RNA
Source: RNAcentral